GAUAGACAUCUGGGCAAGUCAACAGGAAGGUGGAUAUCCAAAUCUCUCUCUUCGCAAUGAGUUUCCAGUUAGAUGGAGGAGAGAGUAAUAAAACACAGAGCUGAGAUUCCUGACUUCACAGAUCCCUGAGGAGAUGUUUACUAAAGGGAAUCUUCUGGUCACUGUUACCUUCCUCCGUACUUACCUGCCUCAUGGAUAACACUGAAGAAUGCAGUUUACUUACAUCUUUUUCUGUUUGACAGAAGACAGUUAUUAGAACCCGAAAGGAAGAAGCUAUACGACUGGGGACACAUGUCUUAGAAGCACACUCAUUAGAUAAAGUGUCGCAUACUCUUUGAUAAG
Long non-coding RNA from Homo sapiens (human), 342 nucleotides. RefSeq annotates it as long independently transcribed non-coding RNA 1060. The record is from RefSeq and is marked validated. NCBI's taxonomy places the organism in Eukaryota, Metazoa, Chordata, Mammalia, Primates, Hominidae.